AGAGACAGCAGCAGCCACGGGAAUACAGAGGGUGCGAGCGUUAAUCGGAUUUACUGGGCGUAAAGCGUGCGUAGGCGGCUUUUUAAGUCGGAUGUGAAAUCCCUGAGCUUAACUUAGGAAUUGCAUUCGAUACUGGGAAGCUAGAGUAUGGGAGAGGAUGGUAGAAUUCCAGGUGUAGCGGUGAAAUGCGUAGAGAUCUGGAGGAAUACCGAUGGCGAAGGCAGCCAUCUGGCCUAAUACUGACGCUGAGGUACGAAAGCAUGGGGAGCAAACAGGAUUAGAUACCCCGGUAGUCCCUGUCUCUUAUAC
Molecule: ribosomal RNA, 309 nt
Filed under: uncultured bacterium
Lineage: Bacteria
Description: partial 16S ribosomal RNA
Rfam family: Bacterial small subunit ribosomal RNA
Source: RNAcentral